RNAcentral lists this unclassified non-coding RNA (294 nucleotides) under Hevea brasiliensis (rubber tree). The record is from RNAcentral. Lineage: Eukaryota; Viridiplantae; Streptophyta; Magnoliopsida; Malpighiales; Euphorbiaceae.
GGUAUGACUGUAUGACAGACUGCUAACAAACGGAAGAACUUCUGUAUUACAUCUGAAUGAGGCUCAAAAAGCCAACUCGCAUUCAUGAUUCUUUCGUCUUCAAAAUUGAAACCUUUAACGGUGGACUUCCUAGAAGUAACAACACCAUCCUCACCAUGAUCAUUACUUUUUGCCAUCAAUGGAGAUCCAUUCCUCUUAGCCAUGGCCUUUUCAACUUCUGUAAUACCACGUCCAUAAGCAGUACCAGCCACGGAGCACUUGACAAACUCCAUUGAAUUACAAGUCAGUGUGCCA